AUGGCCUCGACGAGGGAUCUCGCCAUAGCGUCCAUCUCCGCCGCCGCAGGCGCCGUAGCUGCCGCGGCCGCGGUUCUAUACUCUUACACGGCAACCAACGCCAAGCCCCAGAAGCCGGCCCCGCCCCCGCCGUUCACCGAGCCACUCCCCGUCAACGGCUGCGCCGCCAGGCAUCCGCCAGCGCAGGACCCCUUCAAAACCACGAAGAGGGAAGGGUUCAUCUCAUGGGACGACUACUUCAUGGCGAUUGCUUUCCUUUCAGCCGAGCGUUCCAAGGAUCCUAACCGGCAGGUUGGCGCUUGCUUGGUUAGCCAAGAGGGCAUUAUCCUAGGUAUUGGCUACAAUGGAUUCCCAAGAGGCUGUUCGGAUGAUAAGCUUCCUUGGGCAAAGAAAUCUGCAAGAGGGGAUCCAUUGGAGACAAAAUAUCCCUAUGUUGUUCAUGCUGAAGUUAAUGCUAUUUUAAAUACAAACCAUGCUUCAGCGGCUGGACAGAAGUUAUACGUCACCAUGUUCCCCUGUAAUGAGUGUGCUAAGAUUAUCAUCCAGUCAGGUGUAUCUGAAGUCAUCUAUUUUGUAGAGAAAAGGAUCGACAACUCAGAUCAUGUUUAUGUUGCUUCUCACAACUUAUUAUCAAUGGCUGGUGUGAAGGUCAGGAAGCAUCAGCCGCAAAUGGCACAAAUACCAAUCAACUUUCAGGAGCCAAGGGUCUAA
This 711-nucleotide ribosomal RNA is filed under the name Triticum aestivum (bread wheat). Its description in RNAcentral is "partial small subunit ribosomal RNA". Lineage: Eukaryota; Viridiplantae; Streptophyta; Magnoliopsida; Poales; Poaceae. The record is from RNAcentral.